Molecule: ribosomal RNA, 414 nt
Filed under: uncultured microorganism
Description: bacterial SSU rRNA
Rfam family: Archaeal small subunit ribosomal RNA
Source: RNAcentral
GCGCAGCAGGCGCGAAACCUCCGCAAUGCGGGAAACCGUGACGGGGUCACCCCGAGUGCCACCCGAUGAGGGUGGCUUUUCCCCGGUCUAAAAAGCCGGGGGCAAUAAGCGGGGGGCAAGUCUGGUGUCAGCCGCCGCGGUAAUACCAGCCCCGCGAGUGGUCGGGACGUUUAUUGGGCCUAAAGCGUCCGUAGCCGGCUCGGUAAGUCCCUCCUUAAAUCCACGGGCUCAACCCGUGGGCUGGGAGGGAUACUGCCGGGCUAGGGGGCGGGAGAGGCCGAGGGUACUCCCGGGGUAGGGGCGAAAUCCGUUAAUCCCGGGAGGACCACCAGUGGCGAAGGCGCUCGGCUGGAACGCGCCCGACGGUGAGGGACGAAAGCUGGGGGAGCAAAGGGGAUUAGAUACCCGCGUAGU